GGAGUUAGCCGGUGCUUCUUCUGUGAGUGAUGUCCUUCCUGCCGGCUAUUAACCCGCAGGCCUUCUUCCUCACUGAAAGUGCUUUACAACCCGAAGGCCUUCUUCACACACGCGGCAUGGCUGGAUCAGGGUUGCCCCCAUUGUCCAAUAUUCCCCACUGCUGCCUCCCGUAGGAGUCUGGGCCGUGUCUCAGUCCCAGUGUGGCUGAUCAUCCUCUCAGACCAGCUACGGAUCGUCGCCUUGGUGAGCCGUUACCUCACCAACCAGCUAAUCCGACAUAGGCUCAUCCGAUAGCGCGAGGCCCGAAGGUCCCCCGCUUUCCCCCGUAGGGCGUAUGCGGUAUUAGCCUGGGUUUCCCCAGGUUAUCCCCCACUACCGGGGCAGAUUCCUAUGCAUUACUCACCCGUCCGCCGCUCGCCACCAGGGAGCAAGCUCCCCGUGCUGCCGCUCGACUUGCAUGUGUAGCUGCCGCCAGCGUCAUCUGAGCGAGAUACAACUACUGA
RNAcentral lists this ribosomal RNA (503 nucleotides) under uncultured bacterium. RNAcentral's name for it is "partial 16S ribosomal RNA". The record is from RNAcentral.